AGAGUUUGAUCCUGGCUCAGAGCGAACGCUGGCGGCAGGCUUAACACAUGCAAGUCUAGCGCCCCGCAAGGGGAGCGGCAGACGGGUGAGUAACACGUGGGAACAUACCCUUCGGUUCGGAAUAACUCAGGGAAACUUGAGCUAAUACCGGAUACGUUCGCGAGAAGAAAGAUUUAUCGCCGAAGGAUUGGCCCGCGUCCGAUUAGCUAGUUGGUGUGGUAAUGGCGCACCAAGGCGACGAUCGGUAGCUGGUCUGAGAGGAUGAUCAGCCACAUUGGGACUGAGACACGGCCCAAACUCCUACGGGAGGCAGCAGUGGGGAAUAUUGGACAAUGGGCGCAAGCCUGAUCCAGCCAUGCCGCGUGAGUGAUGACGGCCUUAGGGUUGUAAAGCUCUUUCACCCACGACGAUAAUGACGGUAGUGGGAGAAGAAGCCCCGGCUAACUUCGUGCCAGCAGCCGCGGUAAUACGAAGGGGGCUAGCGUUGUUCGGAAUUACUGGGCGUAAAGCGCGUGUAGGCGGGUCUUUAAGUCAGGGGUGAAAUGCCAAGGCUCAACCUUGGAACUGCCUUUGAUACUGGAGAUCUUGAGUCCGGGAGAGGUGAGUGGAACUGCGAGUGUAGAGGUGAAAUUCGUAGAUAUUCGCAAGAACACCAGUGGCGAAGGCGGCUCACUGGCCCGGAACUGACGCUGAGACGCGAAAGCGUGGGGAGCAAACAGGAUUAGAUACCCUGGUAGUCG
This 740-nucleotide ribosomal RNA is filed under the name uncultured bacterium. RNAcentral's name for it is "bacterial SSU rRNA". It matches the Rfam family "Bacterial small subunit ribosomal RNA", at positions 8 to 796 of the family's 1533-position model. The record is from RNAcentral.